Molecule: long non-coding RNA, 260 nt
Organism: Helianthus annuus (common sunflower)
Lineage: Eukaryota; Viridiplantae; Streptophyta; Magnoliopsida; Asterales; Asteraceae
Exons: 2
Source: RefSeq, a predicted model, not a curated record
GUCGAGAAACGAACCGCGAACAAGGAAUCGAAUAGAGAUUUGCAUGGAACGCAAAUCUGAGAUUAGUGGACGGCUUUGGAAAAAUAUGUUCAAGUGGUUAUCAAGAACGCAAGCUUUUGUGAUGUCAUCUUUUUCGGUUGUUAUGUUUUGAACUUUGAAUAAUGUGGUUAAAGUUGUUGUUGUUUCAAGUUUCAAACAAGACAUAUGUAAUGUAAAUUAUGAUUUCGAAUCAAAUGUAUGGAUGAACAUCUUUUAUGUUU